RNAcentral lists this ribosomal RNA (271 nucleotides) under uncultured prokaryote. RNAcentral describes it as "partial 16S ribosomal RNA". It matches the Rfam family "Bacterial small subunit ribosomal RNA", at positions 524 to 794 of the family's 1533-position model. The record is from RNAcentral.
UACGGAGGAUCCGAGCGUUAUCCGGAUUUAUUGGGUUUAAAGGGUGCGCAGGCGGGGGAUUAAGUCGGCGGUGAAAUUUUGCAGCUCAACUGUAAAAGUGCCUUCGAAACUGGUUUCCUUGAGUGUAGAUGAAGUAGGCGGAAUUUGUGGUGUAGCGGUGAAAUGCAUAGAUAUCACGAGGAACUCCGAUUGCGCAGGCAGCUUACUAAACUACUACUGACGCUCAGGCACGAAGGCGUGGGGAUCAAACAGGAUUAGAUACCCGUGUAGU